Molecule: long non-coding RNA, 2223 nt
Filed under: Pongo abelii (Sumatran orangutan)
Lineage: Eukaryota; Metazoa; Chordata; Mammalia; Primates; Hominidae
Description: lncRNA (ENSPPYG00000039671.1)
Source: RNAcentral
GGUGCGGUGGCUCACACCUCUAAUCCCAGCACUUUGGGAGGCUGAGGCAGGUGAUCACCUGAGGUCAGGAGUUCGAGACCAGCCUGACCAACAUGGCGAAACCCCGUCUCUACUAAAAAUACAAAAGUUAGCCGGGUGUGGUGGUAUGUGCCUGUAAUUCCAGCUACUCAGGAGGCUGAGGCAGGAGAAUCGCUUGAACAGGGAGGUGGAGGUUGCAGUAAGCUGAGGUUGCAGUGAGCCGAGAUUGCACCACUGCACUCCAGCCUGGGCGACUGAGCGAGACCCCGUCUCAAAUAAAUAAAUAAAUAAAUAAAGUGGAGAAGUUAGUGGUUUCUGGUGUAUUCAGAGUUGUGUAACCAUCACCACUAUUAAUUAUAGAACAUACUUACCACCCUAGAAAGAAAUCCCAUACCCAUUAGCAGUCACUCUCCAUUCUCCCCAUUCCCCAGUCCCUGAUGACACAAAUCUACCUUCCAUCUCUAUGGAUUUGCUUAUUCUGGACAUUGUAUUGUGAUGGAUUUUCUGUCUGCACUUGAGCUUCUCUCUGGGUAAGCCUGGCCAUCCUGCUUCAGUAUCUCAGCCAGUCCUGGGAACUGCACGUGGCUUUAAGGUCAUCUCAUGAGGCAAUGUGGCAUGGGUUUGGAGGGAACAAGGUGCUUUCUCAAAGCCAGGGGUGUCUCCCUUUUCCAGGUGGGAUCUAGUUUUUGGUAUCUUGACAAUAAAUAGGCUGAAAGCUUGGGAUAUCAAAAGACUCAGGGCAAUCAGAAAGGGUUACUCUACUACCCCGUGAUCCACCAAAGCCAUGAUUUACAGGUAUUACCAUGCCUGUAAUCAUCUAUCAGACUCUGAGACUUCUUCCAUCGCAGAUCUCCAAGCACUCAUACUUCUUUUGCGGGGAGGGACAUAGGUUUUCUGCUGGAACCAGGCAUCUGCUGUGAAAAGCGCAGGAAUCCUGGGGAGAUCUCGUGGCUGGCUGCAGUGAGACCCAGGUGUAGCUGAUUUCCUCUUCUGAGCAGGUCCACUGAGGGGGCAUUCUGUGGCUUUUGAAAUGACAGUGGCUGUCAUGGAGUUUGAACAGAUUUCUCAAUGGAACCUGUCUAGUGUUUCAUGUUCCAUUUGCAGCAAGGAUGUGAAAUUUACUUUUCCAAGAAAGAUAUACACAGAACUUGAUGUGGCUUACUUGAGGAUAAUAGUUAAUAGUCAUUUUUUUUCCCAGUUAUUUGUUUUUGUUUCUUAUUUCAGUCUUUUUCUAAAGAGAAGAAAAAAGCCUGAAAUGUGGAGAAUGGUAAGGGGCUUCAGGCUUGUGCAGGCGAAUCUAAGCAGGGGUCUCCUGGACCCCUGGCUGCAUGGGCACUGCCUCCUCCAAGCUCCCUUCUGAGCAACCCACUGGCAGUGGCUCCUCAUGCGUCCUGGCUGCCUCAGAAGUCAGAUGUUCCUGUUGGCCUCUCACAGACCCAUCCUUCCCUGGGGCAUCAACUGAGGAACAUCCUCUUCCCAAUGCCUCCCUACAACCCACCUGUGCCUCCUGAAGCCCCUCCUGUGUGCACACUCACUCUCUCUCAUUCUCUCCCUCAAGGAGUUAACAGAUCUGAGCUUCCAUAUUCUCAUACUCAGGCCUGGCCCCUUCUUCCCCUUUUCCCUCCACAGUCCAUCCUCCACUCAGCAGCCAGAUGCUGUACCUCCUGGGAUUCCGUUUCACCAAGAAUGAAAUUUAAAGUCCCUGGCUAGCUGGCUCUCCGACUCCCACACUUCCCUCUCACACACUGGGUCCUGGCCACACUGGCCUCCUCUCUGUUCCUCAAACACCCCACUGCUGGGCAUACAUUUACUGUCCCCUCUCUAGAAUGAUCUUUCUGGGUUAUCUGUGGGCCUCACUCACUUCAUUCAGGUUCUGUGCAAAUGUUUUCUUUAGGUGAAGCCUUCUGGAUAACCCUUUAGAAUACAGCAUGUCCCAGUCUCUCUCUUUUCUCUUAACUAGUUUUCUUUUUCUUCAUAGCACCUACCACCACUCAACAUACUCUAUAACAUAACUCCAUAAUGUGUUCCAUAACACAAGGGCAACUGUCAGCCCUUCUAGAAUGUGAGCUCUAGGCUCUUGGAAUAAACCUGAUUUAUUUUUUCACUGCUGUGUCCUUAUUACCUAGAACGGAAUAGGUGUUCAAAAAGUAUAUGCUGGAUGGGCAAAUGAAUAAACAUGUCUGAAUCUGUCUGAAUAAACAUGCU